RNAcentral lists this long non-coding RNA (274 nucleotides) under Lathyrus oleraceus (garden pea). Its description in RNAcentral is "Pisum sativum (pea) long non-coding RNA (PSAT_LNC028004)". Lineage: Eukaryota; Viridiplantae; Streptophyta; Magnoliopsida; Fabales; Fabaceae. The record is from RNAcentral.
AACAUUUUGUCGAGAGUAUACUUUUCCUUAUGACGACGUUAUAUAUACAAAUUAAAAUCAUAUAAAUCUUAUUUUUUAAAAUCUGUUCAUAAAAAAAAUAUCUUCAUAAAUAUUGGUUUGACUAGACACAUAACUAUCAUUAUAAAAAAAAGGCACAUUGAAUGAAAAAUAAAAAACAAUUUCCAAAAUAUUGUGAAUCUAUUGAUUGCAAUAAUGAAGAAAAACAAAUUAUAGUAUAUUUUAAAACUAUAUAAAUACGUUUUAUAUAUUGUAA